AUUGAACGCUGGCGGCAGGCCUAACACAUGCAAGUCGAACGGUAACAGAAAGCAGCUUGCUGCUUUGCUGACGAGUGGCGGACGGGUGAGUAAUGUCUGGGAAACUGCCUGAUGGAGGGGGAUAACUACUGGAAACGGUAGCUAAUACCGCAUAACGUCGCAAGACCAAAGAGGGGGACCUUCGGGCCUCUUGCCAUCGGAUGUGCCCAGAUGGGAUUAGCUAGUAGGUGGGGUAAAGGCUCACCUAGGCGACGAUCCCUAGCUGGUCUGAGAGGAUGACCAGCCACACUGGAACUGAGACACGGCCCAGACUCCUACGGGAGGCAGCAGUGGGGAAUAUUGCACAAUGGGCGCAAGCCUGAUGCAGCCAUGCCGCGUGUGUGAAGAAGGCCUUCGGGUUGUAAAGUACUUUCAGCGGGGAGGAAGGGAGUAAAGUUAAUACCUUUGCUCAUUGACGUUACCCGCAGAAGAAGCACCGGCUAACUCCGUG
Molecule: ribosomal RNA, 490 nt
Filed under: uncultured bacterium
Lineage: Bacteria
Description: partial 16S ribosomal RNA
Rfam family: Bacterial small subunit ribosomal RNA
Source: RNAcentral